This 92-nucleotide small nucleolar RNA is filed under the name Microdochium bolleyi. RNAcentral's name for it is "A. fumigatus snoRNA Afu_513". It matches the Rfam family "A. fumigatus snoRNA Afu_513". Lineage: Eukaryota; Fungi; Ascomycota; Sordariomycetes; Xylariales; Microdochiaceae. RNAcentral also lists the same sequence under 1 other name. The record is from Rfam by way of RNAcentral.
CGAAAUGAUGAAGCGGCACUGGGCUCCGAAAUAAAAACACAUGAGUCGAUAUGCCUCUUUGUGGCAGGCCUAGAAAACCUCGCCCACUGAUC